UGGAGGAAAGCAGGGGAUCGUAAGACCUUGCGCUUUUGGAGUGGCCGAUGCCUGAUUAGCUAGUUGGUGGGGUAAGAGCCUACCAAGGCGACGAUCAGUAGUUGGUCUGAGAGGACGACCAGCCACACUGGGACUGAGACACGGCCCAGACUCCUACGGGAGGCAGCAGUGGGGAAUUUUGGACAAUGGGCGGAAGCCUGAUCCAGCAAUGCCGCGUGAGUGAAGAAGGCCUUCGGGUUGUAAAGCUCUUUCAGUCGAGAAGAAAAGGUUGCGACUAAUAAUCGCAACUUAUGACGGUAUCGACAGAAGAAGCACCGGCUAACUACGUGCCAGCAGCCGCGGUAAUACGUAGGGUACGAGCGUUAAUCGGAAUUACUGGGCGUAAAGGGUGCGCAGGCGGCUCUGUAAGUCAGAUGUGA
RNAcentral lists this ribosomal RNA (419 nucleotides) under uncultured ammonia-oxidizing beta proteobacterium. RNAcentral's name for it is "bacterial SSU rRNA". It matches the Rfam family "Bacterial small subunit ribosomal RNA", at positions 197 to 597 of the family's 1533-position model. Lineage: Bacteria; Pseudomonadati; Pseudomonadota; Betaproteobacteria. The record is from RNAcentral.